Molecule: long non-coding RNA, 1597 nt
Organism: Musa acuminata subsp. malaccensis (wild Malaysian banana)
Lineage: Eukaryota; Viridiplantae; Streptophyta; Magnoliopsida; Zingiberales; Musaceae
Source: RefSeq, a predicted model, not a curated record
UUUAUUAAUAAUCCUUAUUUUGACAUAAACUAUGAACUAGAUUUUAUAUAUUGAAAAUUUGAAUAGUUACUUACAAUUUUAUAUUAUAUUGAUGAAUGGGUUGAUGUCAAAACUUAAUUCAUUCUUUUCUUUGAUGUGGUGGACAUGAAUGCUACCUUUAUUAAUUAUAUUUAUAUACUUUGUUCCUUAUUUAUCAAUGCAAUUUUUAAUUUAUAGAUACAUAUAAUAAAUAGAAGACGUGUAUACCUGCCUAUUUGGGCCUCCAUGGGCCGGCUCAAGAUUUACAGACUGCUCGUCUUCACGAUCGAAGCCCGAUGGUGCGGUUCGGACUUGAAGGUGAACUCGCCGCCCUCAUCCCGCCGCUGCUUUCGCCGAUGCCAUCGACGGCACCUGGCACGAGGAGGAGGAGGAGGAGCGGCAACAAGUCCCCGCAUAUCGCUCCUCAUCCGCUACCUCGGCCACGAUCGCCGUUGCCCAAUCUGCGGGCUGGCCUUCUCAUUUGGGCCUCAAUAGGCCGGCCUGAGACCUGUGGACUGCUCUAAAAGAAUGAUUCGUGGAUUUACCGUCACCAAUCGUGGCCUGCUCCGACUCGGACUCGGCGAGGAACUCGCCGCCCUCGUGCCGCCGCAGCUUUUGCCGGUGCCCUUUCAUAAGCCGCCAUGGAAGAUCUGCCUUGCCGCGGGGUGCUCAGCCGAGGAGGCCCGGCGGAACGCCGCGGAAAAGAGGGGCGACCGAGAUGUGAGGAAAGCAUCAAGCGGAGGACGACGGGUGAGGUGGAAGAAAGGACGAGGAGGAGGAGGAGAAGAAGAAGGGAAGCUGAAGUCGGUGCGCGCUUUCCUUCCCGAAGCCCACUGUGCUUAGGAAAAGAUAACGACGGCAGUAACUGCUUUCCUAAUCGGCGUCGGAAAUAGAAUCUCUUUCUACUUUCUCUCUCCUAUAAAUUAAUUAGGUCACAGGAGUUACGAAGGAUCACAACAACAACAAAGAAGGAAUCCUGCAACUAAUCUGCAUCGGGUACUUCUUGUUCUUCCUCUUUUUCGAUCUCUCUUAUGCUUAUUUUACUUGUUUUUGUGGUAUUCCAGUGGUGGUGUGAGUCUUACGCGUCCGUUGCUCGAAAGCGUGAAACGCCUGCAGAAAAGAAAUAUAACCAACGACUGUGCAGUGUGACAAUAGCCGGUGACGAAGAAAUGGAGCAGAAGUCACUUUCCGAGAUCGCAAAAAGAGUCCUGCAAUUGAUGCAUAUUCUUCCUCCCUCUGAAACAGAGACGCCACGCUUACCACCAUUUUUGGAUCGAUGUGCUCAGUGCGAUAAGCAAUUAUCUAACAGGGCACCCAUCUAUAUGUAUGGGGAUCUGCAAGGCUUCUGUUCUCCUGGCUGUCGGAAUUUAAGGAUCGAUUUGGAUGAAGAAGAGGCGAAAGCUAACAAAUCAAGUCAAAGGACGAGACGAUCAUAGACUCACAAAAAAAAAAAACAGUAGCAUUUAGAAGAACAUAUUUUUGUUUUAGGGUUUGUGGUUUUGAACGAAAACUGAUGGCUUCUAUGGAUAGGGAAGGACUGCAGUAAAAUUAUUAGGUAAUCCUGUGGUUGAUUUUUCUA